UACGAAGGGGGUUAGCGUUGCUCGGAAUCACUGGGCGUAAAGCGCACGUAGGCGGCUUUUUAAGUCAGGGGUGAAAUCCUGGAGCUCAACUCCAGAACUGCCUUUGAUACUGGGAAGCUUGAGUCCGGAAGAGGUGAGUGGAACUCCGAGUGUAGAGGUGAAAUUCGUAGAUAUUCGGAAGAACACCAGUGGCGAAGGCGGCUCACUGGUCCGGUACUGACGCUGAGGUGCGAAAGCGUGGGGAGCAAACAGG
Molecule: ribosomal RNA, 253 nt
Filed under: uncultured bacterium
Lineage: Bacteria
Description: partial 16S ribosomal RNA
Rfam family: Bacterial small subunit ribosomal RNA
Source: RNAcentral